This 469-nucleotide ribosomal RNA is filed under the name uncultured bacterium. RNAcentral describes it as "partial 16S ribosomal RNA". It matches the Rfam family "Bacterial small subunit ribosomal RNA", at positions 28 to 507 of the family's 1533-position model. The record is from RNAcentral.
GACGAACGCUGGCGGCGUGCUUAACACAUGCAAGUCGAACGGUGAAGCGAGUGCUUGCACUCGUGGAUCAGUGGCGAACGGGUGAGUAACACGUGAGUAACCUGCCCAUCACUCUGGGAUAAGCACUGGAAACGGUGUCUAAUACUGGAUACGACCAACCCUUGCAUGGGGUGUUGGUGGAAAGAUUUAUCGGUGAUGGAUGGACUCGCGGCCUAUCAGCUUGUUGGCGGGGUAAUGGCCCACCAAGGUGACGACGGGUAGCCGGCCUGAGAGGGUGACCGGCCACACUGGGACUGAGACACGGCCCAGACUCCUACGGGAGGCAGCAGUGGGGAAUAUUGCACAAUGGGCGAAAGCCUGAUGCAGCGACGCCGCGUGAGGGAUGACGGCCUUCGGGUUGUAAACCUCUUUCAGCAGGGAAGAAGCGAAAGUGACGGUACCUGCAGAAGAAGCACCGGCUAACUACGUG